Molecule: ribosomal RNA, 496 nt
Filed under: uncultured bacterium
Lineage: Bacteria
Description: partial 16S ribosomal RNA
Rfam family: Bacterial small subunit ribosomal RNA
Source: RNAcentral
AUGCACGCUGGCGGCGUGCCUCAUACCUGCCAGUCGCGCGAACAGACGAGGAGCUUGCUCCUCUGACGUUAGCGGCGGACGGGUGAGUAACACGUGGAUAACCUACCUAUAAGACUGGGAUAACUUCGGGAAACCGGAGCUAAUACCGGAUAAUAUAUUGAACCGCAUGGUUCAAUAGUGAAAUACGGUUUUGCUGUCACUUAUAGAUGGAUCCGCGCCGCAUUAGCUAGUUGGUAAGGUAACGGCUUACCAAGGCAACGAUGCGUAGCCGACCUGAGAGGGUGAUCGGCCACACUGGAACUGAGACACGGUCCAGACUCCUACGGGAGGCAGCAGUAGGGAAUCUUCCGCAAUGGGCGAAAGCCUGACGGAGCAACGCCGCGUGAGUGAUGAAGGUCUUCGGAUCGUAAAACUCUGUUAUUAGGGAAGAACAAAUGUGUAAGUAACUAUGCACGUCUUGACGGUACCUAAUCAGAAAGCCACGGCUAACUACGUG